CUCCUCCGCUCUCGGUGACGGUGGCGGUUCCGCAUCCGCCGCUGUCCGUCGCUUCCGCCAUGGCCGCCACUUCCGGCUCCUGAGGCCUUCACUUCCGCCCCCCCGGGGCCUUCACUUCCGCCUUUCCGGGACCUUCACUUCCGCCUCUUGCGGCCUUCACUUCCGGCUCCCCGCGGCCUUCACUUCCGCCUCCUGAGGCCUCCACUUCCGGCUCCCCGCGGCCUUCACUUCCGCCUCCUGAGGCCUCCACUUCCGCCCCCCCGGGGCCUCCGCUCGUCUCCUCCGCCCCAGGGGUUCGGUCCGGUACUUCCGGUGCGGUUCUAACGAUCGGAUAACUUCCGGUGAGACACUUCCGGUGAGACACUUCCGGUUGGUGAUCUCAGUGCCGGUCACUAAUAGGAGCGCAGAUCGCCUCAUGUAAGGAGGGAUGAAGCAGGGAGAACCAAUAGGAAAGGAGAUCACCUCAGAUGGGGGCGGGACGAGGAAGGAAGAACCAAUAGGAGAGCAGAUCGCCUCAGGGGGGGCGGGAUUAACAGGGAGGAGCCAAUGGGAGAAGAGAUCACCUCAGAGAGGGGGCGGGAUUAACGGGGAGGAGCCAAUGGGAGAAGACAUCACCUCAGAGAGGGGGCGGGAUUAAAGGGGAGCAACCAAUGGGAGAGGAGAUCACCUCAGAGAGGGGGCGGGGCUAACAGGGAGCAGCCAAUGGGAGAAGAGAUCACCUCAGAGAGGGGGCGGGAUUAAACGGGAGCAACCAAUGGGAGAGGAGAUCACCUCAGAGAGGGGGCGGGACUAACAGGGAGCAGCCAAUGGGAUGAGGGAACGUUCUCGGAGGACUUCCGGCGACUACCGGAAGAGAGGGGGCGCUCUGGUCACGUCUCGGUGGUCGGCGCAUGCGCAGCUGUCGGCCAUGCCGAAAGGAGCCAAAAGUGCCGCGGUCCGAGAGGAGGAAUGGAAGGGGGACGAGGAAGGGAACGGUUGAGAACAUCUUCAGUGCGUUGAGCUUGGAGGACGAGGAAGAGGAGGAGGAGGAGGAAGGAAACCGGCCCCAUAGAAAGAAGGACGAGGAAGAAGAGGAGGAAGAUGGGAGGAAGAAGAAGAACAGGAAGAAUGAAAAGAACUGCAGCAGGCGGCAGAACCAAUUUGCUGCUUUGGGCUCCGACGAAGGGGAGGAAGAAGAAGAGGAAGAAGCCGAAAAACCCGGAAGUCCAACCCCCAAAGAGGAAGAGGAAGUGGGGGGAAAAAAGGCCCAAAUCAGUAAAAAGGAAAGGAAAAAGAUGAAGAAACAGCUGGAUUACCAGCGCCAGGUGGCCACGAUGGCGGCGGCCGCGGCCGACAGCGACUUCGCGGUGUCUCAGGCCGACGGGUCCUCGCGGCACGCGGCGCUCGACAACGCCGCC
Molecule: long non-coding RNA, 1397 nt
Filed under: Coturnix japonica (Japanese quail)
Lineage: Eukaryota; Metazoa; Chordata; Aves; Galliformes; Phasianidae
Description: lncRNA (ENSCJPG00005001989.1)
Source: RNAcentral